CUGAGUAGGAGGACUGAGUGUUUGUUUGGCAGGAAUUCAUACUAGGAAGAAUAAAAGUCAGCACAAGUUCUGAUGAAAGUAAUUCUGCAAACCUGGUGUCUUUUGAAUUUCACGCCUGCUAAUGGAAAGCUGGAUUAAUCUUUACAAGGUUCAUCUGUCUUAACCUGAGAUCAUCAGACUUGAAGCCAGAGCUAAACAGAGCUCCAGUCUCUCACAGCCAGUGAGUACGAGUUGUUCUUUUCUGCCAUGACAG
This 253-nucleotide long non-coding RNA is filed under the name Cyanistes caeruleus (blue tit). RNAcentral's name for it is "lncRNA (ENSCCEG00000004483.1)". Lineage: Eukaryota; Metazoa; Chordata; Aves; Passeriformes; Paridae. The record is from RNAcentral.